CCUACGGGAGGCAGCAGUGAGGAAUAUUGGUCAAUGGACGAGAGUCUGAACCAGCCAAGUAGCGUGAAGGAUGACUGCCCUCUGGGUUGUAAACUUCUUUUAUAUGGGAAUACAAUGUUCCACGUGUGGGAUUUUGUAUGUACCAUAUGAAUAAGGAUCGGCUAACUCCGUGCCAGCAGCCGCGGUAAUACGGAGGAUCCGAGCGUUAUCCGGAUUGAUUGGGUUUAAAGGGAGCGUAGGUGGAUUGUUAAGUCAGUUGUGAAAGUUUGCGGCUCAACCGUAAAAUUGCAGUUGAAACUGGCAGUCUUGAGUACAGGAGAGGUGGGCGGAAUUCGUGGUGUAGCGGUGAAAUGCUUAGAUAUCACGAAGAACUCCGAUUGCGAAGGCAGCUCACUGGACUGCAACUGACACUGAGGCUCGAAAGUGUGGGUAUCAAACAGGAUUAGAUACCCUGGUAGUC
RNAcentral lists this ribosomal RNA (460 nucleotides) under uncultured bacterium. RNAcentral describes it as "partial 16S ribosomal RNA". It matches the Rfam family "Bacterial small subunit ribosomal RNA", at positions 338 to 795 of the family's 1533-position model. The record is from RNAcentral.